Molecule: long non-coding RNA, 284 nt
Filed under: Hordeum vulgare
Lineage: Eukaryota; Viridiplantae; Streptophyta; Magnoliopsida; Poales; Poaceae
Description: long non-coding RNA (HVUL_LNC008561)
Source: RNAcentral
CUCUUCUUCUUCUUCUUCUUCUUCUUCUUCUUCUUUCUUUUCACUUUGCCUAUUUCUUCUCCUCUUCUCCUCUUGUUGGAGCUAAAUUACCUAAUUAUGUCUUUUUGGAGCUAAAUGGAUUAAUUAUCCCAUUUUAGAGGAAAACAAGCUAGGUAUAUAAUAUUCAUGAGCUAACCAAGGUUCUUAUGCCAUUUUGAGCUUAUUAUGGUAUUUUGGAGCUAAAUGGGCUAAUUAUGUCAUUGUUGGGGAAAUUAAAGCAAGGAUGAUAUGAAAUAGGAGAAGAA